CAAAUUUCAGGGGCUCCUGCAGCUGAGACAUGGACCCUACUUUACGCCAAGCAGAGGGCCGUGGGGUUCCCUCGUGUGACUGUGAGGUUUGCUGGAGACUGCGAGCCUGCCAGUGUGGCCUCUGCCCUGCCUGGUGCCCAUCCUGUCUCCGAUCCACCUGCACGCCGCAUCCUGGAUCCUCAUCUCCCGCACCCAUGGAUUUCAGCAUCCAGUGUUUCUUGGCGUUCCCUCUCACAGGCCCAGUUCCUCAUGGACGUGAGACCUUCCCACCCAGCGUCUCCCCGAACACGGCCGAAUAACAGAAGAUCUUCUUCAGAAACCUCAAGCUCCGAUGAUGCCUUCAGACCCAUGAAGAUGGAGUGUGAAAUUCCAUGAAUAUCGAGUCUAUUUUCUGGACCCCAGAGCUGUGCGUCUUCCUCUCUGUCGGGCUCAUUCUGAAGCACAGUCCCAGCAUCCAUAUGGCAGAUGCAGCAUCCACGUGGCAGAUGCUUCCUGGACACUCUUAACAGCAUCCACAUGGCAGACGCUUCCUGGACACUCUUAACAGUCACAGGACACUUGGGCUAGUCAGGACACAGAGGACACAGCAGGCUGCAGCUGCAGAGCUUGAAAAGAUUUAUUUUAAAAGCCCAAGGGGAUAAAUACAGCAUCUCUCACAUUACUCCAUACUUAAAAAUAUUUGGAUUAAUUAUAUUAAAAAUUUGCAUUCAAAAGCGUU
Molecule: long non-coding RNA, 718 nt
Filed under: Homo sapiens (human)
Lineage: Eukaryota; Metazoa; Chordata; Mammalia; Primates; Hominidae
Description: HSALNT0197561
Source: RNAcentral